This is a long non-coding RNA of Cloeon dipterum, 2413 nucleotides long. RefSeq lists it as uncharacterized. The record is from RefSeq and is a predicted model, not a curated record. Lineage: Eukaryota; Metazoa; Arthropoda; Insecta; Ephemeroptera; Baetidae. The transcript has 2 exons.
UUUUUAGGAAUUUUCAGCCUGCUCGCGGUUGCGGCGGCUGCACACCAUGCACAAGCAUGCACGUGCUUGCAUGGUAUGCCUGCAGUGUGCUGCUGCCUGCCUCUGUUAUGGAGCGGGGGAGAGGGCGGCAGGCAGCAACCCAACGGCCAACGGCAAAACUGGCGAAGAAUUCCUUCAUCGCCUUACGCGUCAACGGCCGUUCGACCGUUCAAAGUUUAAUCAAUUAGUAAUGGACAACGGACGCCGCAACUCGAGAGGACAGUGGACAAAGUCAUGGAUAAGGACAAACGCCAAACGGACGUCCCGUGGUUCGAACGGAUUGUCUGGAUCCUGCGAUCAAUUGGUUGUCUAAUAACCAUGAUGAUGAGGAGCAGCAACCUGUUGCGGUAGCUGGACACUUAGGAAUUGUGCUUGGCCUUCAGGAAGCUGAUCAAAUCGCUCAAAACCAGACGCACAGAAUAUCUCAACGUAAUCAACAAGGUGAUCACCCUCAUCUCUCAUCAAAGACUAAGCUUCAAGAAGUUAAGUGAGUGCGACGCUGAUGUGAGUUACAAUUAGAGCGUUCAUCGUAUUUGGGAAAUAUUCGGUUCCCCGGGAAUUCCCGGGAAAUUAAUUUAAUCAAUGCCAUUGGAAGAACUUUACAUAAGGAAUUUAAGGUGUUAUUAGGAGGACCAUUUAAGCCUAGGUUAACAUUACUAUUUGUAAUUUUAUUUUUAUAUAAUGUAGUGUUAAAUAAUUUUUUAGAUUUCCUUCUAUUUUCACAAGUACUAGUCUUUUAAGUUUUACCUGAAGUCUAUAUCUUUACCUUCAUGAUUGAUAAGCUUUAAUAUUUUAUGGCUGAAUGAAUAAUGCUCAACAUAUAUUCCUCCAUUUCGUGCCUCAGGGCACUUUGGGAGUGCUUAUUAUACCAUUUAUGGUUUGUAUUGAAACAAUAAUUAGUAAUGUAAUUCGACCAGGAACCUUGGCUGUUCAGUUUUCUGCUAAUAUAAUUGCAGGCCAUUUUUAUUGAUAAUUUAAAUCCGUAACACAGGUCUUAAAAGUUUAAUAGUAUCUCUUUUGAUUUUGGGUCAAAUUUGUUUAUUCGGGAAAUUCGGAUCUCGAGCUGAAGUAUAAGCGGUUAUAUGAGAACCGGGCCGGGCUCAGGUAUUUUUUUCGGGACAGGAAUCCCGAUGAGCAGCUUCAGGGCCUAAGCAAAGCCGCCAUGGUUAUUAGGGCUAUACAAUCACAAACAUAUCCAUGAAUAUAUGCGAGUUCGAUCUCCAAUUUUUGGAUGUCGAUUUGAGGGGAUUUUUUGGCAUUGAAAUUUUAAGGUGACACUUAUGUUUGCGUAAAAGUGUUUGUUAAAUAGGUCGAGAAAUUCCAGGUUUGGAACUCAGGAAUGGGGGACGCAGUCUAAGAGUUACAGUCCACCUUUCAUUCACAGAUUACUCUAUUUUCGGGGAUUUUAGAAAUAACGAAUAAAUAGGGAACCGAGCUUCAAACCUGGAAUUUCACCAUCUUUAUAAACAAUCAGUUUUUUCCAAUUUAUUAAGCAACUAUAAGUGGCAAGAAAAAUUCCCCCGCCAAUAAAUUAAUAAACAAUCAAAUUUUCUUGCUUCCCUCCCCUGGUGCAUGUUAUCAAUUUAAGCCAUCUGCAGGCAGUUUCAAGCGAAUUUUGAAAUUUGGACGGGAUUUUCGGCGUGGAAAUUUUUUCUUGCCACUUAUAGUUGCUUAAUAAAUUGGAAAAAAACCUGAUUGUUUAUAAAGAUGGUGAAAUGUCAGGUUUGAUGCUCGGGAAUCCCUGUUUAUUCGUUAUUUAAAAAUCCCCGGAAAUCGAGUUAUCUGUGAAUGAAAGGUGGACUGUAACUCUUAGACUGCGUCCCCCAUUCCUGAGUUUCAAACCUGGAACAUGGUUCCGAAUUUUCCCCACCCCUGGAAUUUCUCGAUCCAUUUUAUAAGUACUUUUAAGCAAAUCAUCCUUAAUAUUUCGAUGCCAAAAUAUCCCGUCCAAUCGACAAUAAAAAUUUGAAGUUCGAAUUCACCUGCUCAUCGGGAUUCCUGUCCCGAAAAAAAUACCCGAUUCUCAUAUAACUGCUUAAUAUUUCUGCUCAGGAUCCAAAAUUCCUGGGAAUUCCCGGAUUAACAAAAAUUUCUCGAUCUCAAUGGACGCUCUAUUAAGUGUCAUACAAUAGAAUGUUACCCCUGGCGCCAGUGUAUUGCCGGCGUCGAAUUCUAUGGACUGAUGAAUUUAAACCCGUUUUAAAAUGAAUGAGGAAUUAAAAAGAAUUGUUUUAAGAAUAAUCCAGUGAUGAUAUGCGAUGACACAUGAUAACUUAAUAUAUAAAUAAUAUUUAUGUAAGGGUGUGGUAUGAAUCUGCUGAUGGGUCUUUGAAAACAGUAAGAAAUAAAAAUGAUGAAAUUUCAGUAAUACUAA